Triticum aestivum (bread wheat) is the source of this 1167-nucleotide long non-coding RNA. RefSeq lists it as uncharacterized. The transcript is spliced from 4 exons. The record is from RefSeq and is a predicted model, not a curated record. Lineage: Eukaryota; Viridiplantae; Streptophyta; Magnoliopsida; Poales; Poaceae.
CUGGAAUCCGGGGUUCAGAGAUCGCCGGUGUUUUUUUUGUCUGCUCCCCUGCAAGGGAGCGAGGGGCGGCCCGUGAUCGGACUCACGCGACGGCUAAAGCCGAGCGCGUCUACUCCCGCGAAAGCCGAGCAGACUAUUUGGCAUUUGGCAUCUGCUACCAAUUUGCGAGAGGUUGAAGACCACCGGAAGUUUGACGUACUUCGUUUGUUCAUAGGGCGGCGAGACACACGGAUCUAAGGACGGAUGGGUACGGGAUCCCGCCGCCUUCGGGGCCGAGCGCGCCUCGACGGAUUGACGAUUUAUCAUCAGGAUCAAAUGACGAAGAGAUUUUUUAAUACCCCUCCUGCAGAUAGUGCAGUGAACCAUGCACACACCUGGUCUACAUAUAUUUCUGACUUCCCAAGGACGAGGACAACAAUUGUCGACCGAUAGGCCAGCAGAUGAACUUCGCAACGAACACAUCAAGAUUGCUCACGGGUUAAUGGCAUGUAUAGCUAAAUACUUUGACGGAAGGACGCCGAAGGCAAAGGGAUGGCAGAAUUGGUUCCCCAAAGCUCACCAACGGCCCUUGGGUUUGCAGCAGGGCUUCAAGAGGGAUACAGGCGCUACAUUAUGUGAGGCAGUGGAUGGGGACAAAACUACAGAGGAGUCUAUCGCCAGUACAUAUGCAGAAACCGUCAUAUCAAAACGACGGAUAAAAUCAACUAACAGUAUGAGCGUUUUUCUGAUGCAACAGUUAGGAGAUGAGAUCUACCAAUCAAGGAUGAUCCUUCUUUAUGAAGCUUUGGGAUUAGCUGGGAACAUUGGGCAACUCCCUGCAAAAUUUAAGAUGUGCCAGACUGAUUGCUGAGAAGGGGGCAAAUAUAGCUUGGUCAGACUAUCACUAUUAGCACCGCCACAAUCAAGAAGUCAGAAGGGGGUCAUUUGCAACGGCCUUGUAAAUCAAACCGUGGUCGUUCCCAUUAUCAAAGAACUUAUGGGAGACUCGUAAUUUUCCUGAGAACUAUCUGCAGGUUAUGUAAUAUGUAUUUUAUGGAACUUUUUUCGUAUGCUUAGAGUGUGUAUUGCAUGCGGUAUGUGUCAGGAACUUGACCUUGGGCAACGCCAGUGACUUUAGUCCCACCUCGGAUAUGGGAGGAGGCUAGGAGCUUCUUAUAAGGGAGAGUG